UACGGAGGGUGCAAGCGUUAUCCGGAAUCACUGGGUUUAAAGGGUGCGUAGGCGGCUUUGUAAGUCAGUCGUGAAAUCGCUAGGCUUAACCUAUGCAAUUGCGAUUGAUACUGCAGAACUUGAAUGGGGUUAAGGCAGGCGGAAUGUGGCAUGUAGCGGUGAAAUGCAUAGAUAUGCCAUAGAACACCGAUUGCGAAGGCAGCCUGCUGGGCCUUUAUUGACGCUGAGGCACGAAAGCGUGGGGAGCAAACAGG
RNAcentral lists this ribosomal RNA (254 nucleotides) under uncultured bacterium. Its description in RNAcentral is "partial 16S ribosomal RNA". It matches the Rfam family "Bacterial small subunit ribosomal RNA", at positions 524 to 776 of the family's 1533-position model. The record is from RNAcentral.